RNAcentral lists this ribosomal RNA (567 nucleotides) under uncultured bacterium. RNAcentral's name for it is "bacterial SSU rRNA". It matches the Rfam family "Bacterial small subunit ribosomal RNA", at positions 338 to 915 of the family's 1533-position model. The record is from RNAcentral.
CCUACGGGAGGCAGCAGUGGGGAAUAUUGCACAAUGGGCGAAAGCCUGAUGCAGCGACGCCGCGUGAGGGAUGACGGCCUUCGGGUUGUAAACCUCUUUCAGCAGGGAAGAAGCGAAAGUGACGGUACCUGCAGAAGAAGCGCCGGCUGACUACGUGCCAGCAGCCGCGGUAAUACGUAGGGCGCAAGCGUUGUCCGGAAUUAUUGGGCGUAAAGAGCUCGUAGGCGGCUUGUCACGUCGGAUGUGAAAGCCCGGGGCUUAACCCCGGGUCUGCAUUCGAUACGGGCUAGCUAGAGUGUGGUAGGGGAGAUCGGAAUUCCUGGUGUAGCGGUGAAAUGCGCAGAUAUCAGGAGGAACACCGGUGGCGAAGGCGGAUCUCUGGGCCAUUACUGACGCUGAGGAGCGAAAGCGUGGGGAGCGGAACAGGAUUAGAUACCCUGGUAGUCCACGCCGUAAACGUCGGGAACUAGGUGUUGGCGACAUUCCACGUCGUCGGUGCCGCAGCUAACGCAUUAAGUUCCCGCCUGGGGAGUACGGCCGCGAAGGCAAAACUCAAAUGAAUUGACG